Molecule: ribosomal RNA, 1527 nt
Filed under: Klebsiella pneumoniae
Lineage: Bacteria; Pseudomonadati; Pseudomonadota; Gammaproteobacteria; Enterobacterales; Enterobacteriaceae
Description: bacterial SSU rRNA
Rfam family: Bacterial small subunit ribosomal RNA
Source: RNAcentral
AGAGUUUGAUCAUGGCUCAGAUUGAACGCUGGCGGCAGGCCUAACACAUGCAAGUCGAGCGGUAGCACAGAGAGCUUGCUCUCGGGUGACGAGCGGCGGACGGGUGAGUAAUGUCUGGGAAACUGCCUGAUGGAGGGGGAUAACUACUGGAAACGGUAGCUAAUACCGCAUAACGUCGCAAGACCAAAGUGGGGGACCUUCGGGCCUCAUGCCAUCAGAUGUGCCCAGAUGGGAUUAGCUAGUAGGUGGGGUAACGGCUCACCUAGGCGACGAUCCCUAGCUGGUCUGAGAGGAUGACCAGCCACACUGGAACUGAGACACGGUCCAGACUCCUACGGGAGGCAGCAGUGGGGAAUAUUGCACAAUGGGCGCAAGCCUGAUGCAGCCAUGCCGCGUGUGUGAAGAAGGCCUUCGGGUUGUAAAGCACUUUCAGCGGGGAGGAAGGCGGUGAGGUUAAUAACCUCAUCGAUUGACGUUACCCGCAGAAGAAGCACCGGCUAACUCCGUGCCAGCAGCCGCGGUAAUACGGAGGGUGCAAGCGUUAAUCGGAAUUACUGGGCGUAAAGCGCACGCAGGCGGUCUGUCAAGUCGGAUGUGAAAUCCCCGGGCUCAACCUGGGAACUGCAUUCGAAACUGGCAGGCUAGAGUCUUGUAGAGGGGGGUAGAAUUCCAGGUGUAGCGGUGAAAUGCGUAGAGAUCUGGAGGAAUACCGGUGGCGAAGGCGGCCCCCUGGACAAAGACUGACGCUCAGGUGCGAAAGCGUGGGGAGCAAACAGGAUUAGAUACCCUGGUAGUCCACGCCGUAAACGAUGUCGAUUUGGAGGUUGUGCCCUUGAGGCGUGGCUUCCGGAGCUAACGCGUUAAAUCGACCGCCUGGGGAGUACGGCCGCAAGGUUAAAACUCAAAUGAAUUGACGGGGGCCCGCACAAGCGGUGGAGCAUGUGGUUUAAUUCGAUGCAACGCGAAGAACCUUACCUGGUCUUGACAUCCACAGAACUUUCCAGAGAUGGAUUGGUGCCUUCGGGAACUGUGAGACAGGUGCUGCAUGGCUGUCGUCAGCUCGUGUUGUGAAAUGUUGGGUUAAGUCCCGCAACGAGCGCAACCCUUAUCCUUUGUUGCCAGCGGUNGGCCGGGAACUCAAAGGAGACUGCCAGUGAUAAACUGGAGGAAGGUGGGGAUGACGUCAAGUCAUCAUGGCCCUUACGACCAGGGCUACACACGUGCUACAAUGGCAUAUACAAAGAGAAGCGACCUCGCGAGAGCAAGCGGACCUCAUAAAGUAUGUCGUAGUCCGGAUUGGAGUCUGCAACUCGACUCCAUGAAGUCGGAAUCGCUAGUAAUCGUAGAUCAGAAUGCUACGGUGAAUACGUUCCCGGGCCUUGUACACACCGCCCGUCACACCAUGGGAGUGGGUUGCAAAAGAAGUAGGUAGCUUAACCUUCGGGAGGGCGCUUACCACUUUGUGAUUCAUGACUGGGGUGAAGUCGUAACAAGGUAACCGUAGGGGAACCUGCGGUUGGAUCACCU